GGUGUUGUGGUGUAGUGGUUAUCACGUUUGUCUUACACACAAAAGGUCCCCAGUUCGAUCCUGGGCAACACCA
Non-coding RNA from Asparagus officinalis (garden asparagus), 73 nucleotides. NCBI's taxonomy places the organism in Eukaryota, Viridiplantae, Streptophyta, Magnoliopsida, Asparagales, Asparagaceae. The record is from the annotation of a RefSeq genome assembly.